This 2534-nucleotide long non-coding RNA is filed under the name Homo sapiens (human). Its description in RNAcentral is "long non-coding RNA NONHSAT211872.1". Lineage: Eukaryota; Metazoa; Chordata; Mammalia; Primates; Hominidae. The record is from RNAcentral.
GUGUGUUUGAGUGUGAAAUGUGCUAAUAAGGAGGAGAGACCUCUCCUUUGCAAUGUGCUGCGGCAGGAGAAAGCAGGCUGCCGGCCCCUGCCUCCCUGAAUCCUCAGUGGCUGACUGGAUACCGCUUCUGGGGGUUGCUGUGCACAUGAAUGUUUGCUAUUGUUCCAGGCGCACGUCGGCCUUAAGAAAUAGCACAAAACAGGCCCAUCCUUAUUCAGAAGCCGGGCCCCCUCCAUCACUCAAACUGGGCCUUUCAGGUCACAUGCCGGAGGCUGCUGCAGACAGGACCCAGCUGCCUCAAAUCUGCCGCCUAACAUAAGCUGCGGUUCGAAAAUCCUGACAGCACAGGGCUUCCUGGGCUCUGCAGAGCAAACUGGAAAGAGCUGGGAUCCAGGCACUAUGUUCUCUGAAGAACUGUGGCUGGAAAAUGAGAAAAAGUGUGCUGUGGUUCGGAAGUCUAAGCAGGGCAGGAAACGCCAAGAACUGCUGGCCGUAGCCUUCGGGGUGAAGACUGUGGAUUGAACGUACACAAACAGUGUUCCAAGCACGUUCCCAAUGACUGCCAACCUGAUCUCAAGAGGAUCAAGAAAGUGUACUGUUGUGACCUCACAACACUUGUGAAGGCUCACAACACUCAGAGACCCAUGGUGGUAGACAUAUGCAUUCGGGAAAUUGAAGCAAGAGGAUUAAAAUCGGAAGGCCUUUACAGAGUCUCUGGGUUCACUGAACACAUUGAAGAUGUCAAAAUGGCAUUUGACAGAGGGUUACUAUGAAUGAAAAAGACAAUUUCAUGAAUGCAGAAAAUCUGGGGAUCGUGUUUGGGCCCACUCUGAUGAGGCCCCCUGAGGACAGCACCCUGACCACCCUGCAUGAUAUGCGGUACCAAAAGCUGAUUGUGCAGAUUUUAAUAGAAAACGAAGACGUUUUAUUCUAAUCCAUCAGGGAAAUGAGCUGAAUGGCCCCAGCACCAUCCAAGUUGACACAGCUAAAGGAAUAAAAACAUUUCUUACCACUUGAUUUGUUUUCCAAGCAAGUGCUAGAAUUUCCUGGACUGCAGAGGAUCGCUGAGUGGGGUACUGUGUCUCAUAGACAUGCGCCACCUCCACGUGAGAACAAGGGUGAAGGUGAGGGAAGCCCCUCACCUUGGGUCUUUUGCUGUGCCUCCUAUGUAUGUCUGGUUUGCUGGAAGAGUGAUUAAUACAUCUUUAAUUUAUUAAAAAACAAUGUAGACCUUUAAACUUCAGUCUUAUUGGUAAUAAAAGGGAACUUAAUUCAUACAGGUACUUGAUACAGUUAUACAUUUUCCACUUACAAAAAGAAGACAAUUCUGUUAAAUGAAACGUGUAUCGUAAAAUGUAUUUUUAUUUUACCCACGAGAAUGUUGUUAUUUUUAGCAAAUAGAACUCAAUGCAGUGCAUUGGUUAUUACCCUGUGUACCUUGUCCCUCAUUUUGCUGUGACACCCUGAAAAAGCUGACCACAAAUGCAGUAUUAUCUUGACAUACCUCUGUCCUCCUCAGUGCUUUUUAAUGAAAUUUCACCUGCCCCUUGUGUUCCUGCUUUGGAUAGUUUUUGCUCUUAAGCAUUGGCAUUCUUCUAUUGUAUGGUAUGUAUUUAUAGCAAUUGUAGGAUGGUCUGAAAUGUCCACACACUUUCUAUGCAUACAAAUUUUGUGAAUUCCCAAAGUAUGCUUUGGAAUUGGUCAUAGUCUUUUCGUAUCAUGAGUGUGUAUCCCAGAAGAUACAGAAUGCGGUCAUUUUACCUGAAAUUAUUUGAGAACACUGGAUGUAUCUGGUCUGUGUAAAAAGUUAGCACUUACCCUCUUUUCUUCCUGGCCAAGCCCUCUGAAUUCAUCUGUUAAUAUCAAAUUGUAUUUUUGCCACAUUUCUGUAUUGGUGAAAAGCGAAUCUGCAGAAUAACUGUCAACGUUUUUCAUUCUUGUUUUACAAACCUAUUUUUUAAAGUGAGAAUAAGGUUGGUUUUUACCAAAUAUUUGUUCCUCCUUGACAAAAGUAGCUCUGUGUGGAUAAUAUGAUUUUAUUACUACAGUUCCAGUCACUUGGUUAUAUUUAUCUUAGCAUGAGCCUUUCACACCAAGAUUUCUAUAUUUUGUAACAUAGGUGAAAUAUUUAAAACAUCAAAAACUGUAAAUCUAGAUUUUUAAAAAAUCCAACUGCAAUGUCUUUUCCUUUGAUUGAGAUGAUUUGUGUAAACUCACCAGUCUUGCUUUGGAGUGAGCAGAAGAGAAUGACUAUUUUACGUGGAGCAUCAUUGUGUGACUGUUGACCUGGACAGUCCCAAGGGCUAUGCAGAUGGACUCCAUUGGCACAGGGAGGUUUGACCUCUUCCCUGCUAUUAUCCCUCCUCCCAACUGUACAGAUUUGUUUGUUGUAGUUUAUGUACUUCUUGAUACUGUCAAAAAAUUAUCUGGAAAUGGUUUUAUUUUGUGAAGUGAACAAUACUUUGUAAUUUAUGAUAGUGUAAAUGGAAGGCAAAGCAUCACAUGUAUUAAAUUCUUCUGUCUAUUAUUCUGGA